Odocoileus virginianus texanus is the source of this 699-nucleotide long non-coding RNA. RefSeq lists it as uncharacterized. The record is from RefSeq and is a predicted model, not a curated record. Lineage: Eukaryota; Metazoa; Chordata; Mammalia; Artiodactyla; Cervidae.
UCCAUGCAGUAUUUAAAGGAAUGAUUCUCCCUUGCAAAUGUGUUUGAGGAGAAAUUCUAAGUGGUAUGGGUUUACCAUAUACCGUGUUUGUUACCCUGAAUAUACUUCUCCAGCAACACAAAAACAGAUACGUAUAAAAUUAUUAUUUGCAGCAUUAUUUUAUAUAUACAAAUUAGUGGGAAUGUCAAACACCUAACAUUAAUUGAAUUAGCUAUGGGUUAUACCCCAAACAGAAUAAUAUGCAGCCAUAAAAAAGAAAGAAAAAGACCUAUCUGAAGGGAUAUGAAUUACUUUCCAAGAUAUACUGAAACAGAUUGGAGCAAAAUUAUCAUUGAAAUCUGAACAACCUGGUUUUCCCAUCGAGCAGAGAAUGGAGACUGUGUAAGCAUGCACACACUUACAGGUGGAUUUUAUUUUCUACGUGAUCACCAUGGGAAAAGAUAAGAGUCAUGUGCUCUCAUAGGCAGUAUGGAGGAAUUCAUGAGGAACAAACUCAAGUGCAAAGAAGUGACUUCUCUAGUAAAGUUGGGAUUAGAUCUCUUGCCUCCUGAACUCCUAAUUAAAUGUUGUUUGUUUUUCCAAAUAAAUUUUACAGAUAUCAUUAUCUUCUAACACUUUUUUUUGGUGAAUGUUUAUACUUGUGAAAAUUUAUGAGCAGAUCAAGUUAGCAUAUUGAAUAACUGCAUCUAUCCUUCUACC